Molecule: long non-coding RNA, 209 nt
Filed under: Elaeis guineensis (African oil palm)
Lineage: Eukaryota; Viridiplantae; Streptophyta; Magnoliopsida; Arecales; Arecaceae
Description: long non-coding RNA (EGUI_LNC029893)
Source: RNAcentral
UUGAACCUCAUGGAUCUUUAAUGUGAAAUACCUGAUCUAUAAGUUGAAUCUUAUAAAAUAUCAACUUGACGAGUUUCGACUUAAAUUCUCGAACGACACAUCCUUGAAAAGGAAAGAAAUAAACCAUCUCACGAUGGAACUUCUGAUGCAUGGGAGACUCAAUCUACCCAUAACGAUAUCAAACAAAGAAUUCGAGGUAGAAGAAGCCA